This is a non-coding RNA of Schistosoma haematobium, 45 nucleotides long. The record is from Rfam. Lineage: Eukaryota; Metazoa; Platyhelminthes; Trematoda; Strigeidida; Schistosomatidae.
AUCCAGCUGACGACUCCCAAAUAGGACGGAACGCGCUUCCUGGAU